RNAcentral lists this ribosomal RNA (673 nucleotides) under Citrobacter amalonaticus. RNAcentral's name for it is "bacterial SSU rRNA". It matches the Rfam family "Bacterial small subunit ribosomal RNA", at positions 860 to 1533 of the family's 1533-position model. Lineage: Bacteria; Pseudomonadati; Pseudomonadota; Gammaproteobacteria; Enterobacterales; Enterobacteriaceae. The record is from RNAcentral.
UUAAAUAGACCGCCUGGGGAGUACGGCCGCAAGGUUAAAACUCAAAUGAAUUGACGGGGGCCCGCACAAGCGGUGGAGCAUGUGGUUUAAUUCGAUGCAACGCGAAGAACCUUACCUGGUCUUGACAUCCACAGAACUUGGCAGAGAUGCCUUGGUGCCUUCGGGAACUGUGAGACAGGUGCUGCAUGGCUGUCGUCAGCUCGUGUUGUGAAAUGUUGGGUUAAGUCCCGCAACGAGCGCAACCCUUAUCCUUUGUUGCCAGCGGUCCGGCCGGGAACUCAAAGGAGACUGCCAGUGAUAAACUGGAGGAAGGUGGGGAUGACGUCAAGUCAUCAUGGCCCUUACGACCAGGGCUACACACGUGCUACAAUGGCAUAUACAAAGAGAAGCGACCUCGCGAGAGCAAGCGGACCUCAUAAAGUAUGUCGUAGUCCGGAUUGGAGUCUGCAACUCGACUCCAUGAAGUCGGAAUCGCUAGUAAUCGUGGAUCAGAAUGCCACGGUGAAUACGUUCCCGGGCCUUGUACACACCGCCCGUCACACCAUGGGAGUGGGUUGCAAAAGAAGUAGGUAGCUUAACCUUCGGGAGGGCGCUUACCACUUUGUGAUUCAUGACUGGGGUGAAGUCGUAACAAGGUAACCGUAGGGGAACCUGCGGUUGGAUCACCUCCUUA